This 208-nucleotide ribosomal RNA is filed under the name uncultured fungus. RNAcentral describes it as "partial 28S ribosomal RNA". The record is from RNAcentral. Lineage: Eukaryota; Fungi.
CGAUGGGUCAGCAUCAGUUUCGACCGAGGGAAAAAGACAUUUGGAAUGUGGCUGUCUUCGGGCAGUGUUAUAGCCUUGUGUUGUAUGUCUCGGUUGGGACUGAGGAUUGCAGCGCGCCUUAUGGCCGGGGGUCGCUCCUCUCGACACGCGCUUAGGAUGCUGGCAUAAUGGCUUUAAGCGACCCGUCUUGAAACACGGACCAAGGAGU